UACAAAGGUCUCAAGCGUUGUUCGGAUUCAUUGGGCGUAAAGGGUGUGUAGGUGGCUCGCUAAGUCGGGUGUGAAAUUUCGGAGCUUAACUCCGAAACUGCAUUCGAUACUGGCGUGCUUGAGGACCGGAGAGGAGACUGGAAUUCAUGGUGUAGCAGUGAAAUGCGUAGAGAUCAUGAGGAAGACCAGUGGCGAAGGCGGGUCUCUGGACAGUUCCUGACACUGAGACACGAAGGCCAGGGGAGCAAACGGG
RNAcentral lists this ribosomal RNA (253 nucleotides) under uncultured bacterium. RNAcentral's name for it is "partial 16S ribosomal RNA". It matches the Rfam family "Bacterial small subunit ribosomal RNA", at positions 524 to 776 of the family's 1533-position model. The record is from RNAcentral.